GUACACAAAAAUGCACAUACUGUGAGCUCGAUGAGUAGGGCGGGACACGUGGUAUCCUGUCUGAAUAUGGGGGGACCAUCCUCCAAGGCUAAAUACUCCUGACUGACCGAUAGUGAACCAGUACCGUGAGGGAAAGGCGAAAAGAACCCCGGCGAGGGGAGUGAAAAAGAACCUGAAACCGUGUACGUACAAGCAGUGGGAGCCUCUUAAUGGGGUGACUGCGUACCUUUUGUAUAAUGGGUCAGCGACUUAUAUUCUGUAGCAAGGUUAACCGAAUAGGGGAGCCGAAGGGAAACCGAGUCUUAACUGGGCGUUAAGUUGCAGGGUAUAGACCCGAAACCCGGUGAUCUAGCCAUGGGCAGGUUGAAGGUUGGGUAACACUAACUGGAGGACCGAACCGACUAAUGUUGAAAAAUUAGCGGAUGACUUGUGGCUGGGGGUGAAAGGCCAAUCAAACCGGGAGAUAGCUGGUUCUCCCCGAAAGCUAUUUAGGUAGCGCCUCGUGAAUUCAUCUCCGGGGGUAGAGCACUGUUUCGGCAAGGGGGUCAUCCCGACUUACCAACCCGAUGCAAACUGCGAAUACCGGAGAAUGUUAUCACGGGAGACACACGGCGGGUGCUAACGUCCGUCGUGAAGAGGGAAACAACCCAGACCGCCAGCUAAGGUCCCAAAGUCAUGGUUAAGUGGGAAACGAUGUGGGAAGGCCCAGACAGCCAGGAUGUUGGCUUAGAAGCAGCCAUCAUUUAAAGAAAGCGUAAUAGCUCACUGGUCGAGUCGGCCUGCGCGGAAGAUGUAACGGGGCUAAACCAUGCACCGAAGCUGCGGCAGCGACACUAUGUGUUGUUGGGUAGGGGAGCGUUCUGUAAGCCUGUGAAGGUGUACUGUGAGGUAUGCUGGAGGUAUCAGAAGUGCGAAUGCUGACAUAAGUAACGAUAAAGCGGGUGAAAAGCCCGCUCGCCGGAAGACCAAGGGUUCCUGUCCAACGUUAAUCGGGGCAGGGUGAGUCGACCCCUAAGGCGAGGCCGAAAGGCGUAGUCGAUGGGAAACAGGUUAAUAUUCCUGUACUUGGUGUUACUGCGAAGGGGGGACGGAGAAGGCUAUGUUGGCCGGGCGACGGUUGUCCCGGUUUAAGCGUGUAGGCUGGUUUUCCAGGCAAAUCCGGAAAAUCAAGGCUGAGGCGUGAUGACGAGGCACUACGGUGCUGAAGCAACAAAUGCCCUGCUUCCAGGAAAAGCCUCUAAGCAUCAGGUAACAUCAAAUCGUACCCCAAACCGACACAGGUGGUCAGGUAGAGAAUACCAAGGCGCUUGAGAGAACUCGGGUGAAGGAACUAGGCAAAAUGGUGCCGUAACUUCGGGAGAAGGCACGC
This 1369-nucleotide ribosomal RNA is filed under the name Escherichia coli. RNAcentral describes it as "partial 23S ribosomal RNA". It matches the Rfam family "Bacterial large subunit ribosomal RNA", at positions 375 to 1751 of the family's 2925-position model. The record is from RNAcentral. Lineage: Bacteria; Pseudomonadati; Pseudomonadota; Gammaproteobacteria; Enterobacterales; Enterobacteriaceae.